This 378-nucleotide ribosomal RNA is filed under the name Triticum aestivum (bread wheat). RNAcentral describes it as "partial small subunit ribosomal RNA". Lineage: Eukaryota; Viridiplantae; Streptophyta; Magnoliopsida; Poales; Poaceae. The record is from RNAcentral.
AUGAAGAUUUCCAGAAAAUAUCAAGUAUUGGGAGAUGCAUAUUUAGGCCUGGAACUAUCUUGCCAAAACUUCUAUACAUAUAGCGACCUCUUCGUUUUUUUCCUGCUUCUAGGUGUUGGUGCUGGUUCUGACUUAUUUACGAUCACAUUUAUAAAGUGCUACUCUCCUUCAUCUCAUGUUUCUAUCCUAAUCCAACUAACUGGUUGUGUUGUGGACGGCAUCACCAUAACCAUAUCGAUGGUCCAAGCCCCUUUCUCGUGUUUUUUGUUUCUUAACCUACAGGCUGUUGUGCUCGAGUUGAUGAGGCAUCCUCGCAUAAAUGGAUUGAGAGUCAAAGCGCCAGAGGCUGGAAGAAAGGCAUUUCCAAAAUUGAACUGA